This 683-nucleotide ribosomal RNA is filed under the name Geobacillus stearothermophilus. RNAcentral's name for it is "bacterial SSU rRNA". It matches the Rfam family "Bacterial small subunit ribosomal RNA", at positions 90 to 756 of the family's 1533-position model. Lineage: Bacteria; Bacillati; Bacillota; Bacilli; Caryophanales; Anoxybacillaceae. The record is from RNAcentral.
GGUCAGCGGCGGACGGGUGAGUAACACGUGGGCAACCUGCCCGCAAGACCGGGAUAACUCCGGGAAACCGGAGCUAAUACCGGAUAACACCGAAGKCCGCAUGGUCUUCGGUUGAAAGGCGGCCUUUGGGCUGUCACUUGCGGAUGGGCCCGCGGCGCAUUAGCUAGUUGGUGAGGUAACGGCUCACCAAGGCGACGAUGCGUAGCCGGCCUGAGAGGGUGACCGGCCACACUGGGACUGAGACACGGCCCAGACUCCUACGGGAGGCAGCAGUAGGGAAUCUUCCGCAAUGGGCGAAAGCCUGACGGAGCGACGCCGCGUGAGCGAAGAAGGCCUUCGGGUCGUAAAGCUCUGUUGUGAGGGACGAAGGAGCGCCGUUCGAAGAGGGCGGCGCGGUGACGGUACCUCACGAGAAAGCCCCGGCUAACUACGUGCCAGCAGCCGCGGUAAUACGUAGGGGGCGAGCGUUGUCCGGAAUUAUUGGGCGUAAAGCGCGCGCAGGCGGUCUCUUAAGUCUGAUGUGAAAGCCCACGGCUCAACCGUGGAGGGUCAUUGGAAACUGGGGGACUUGAGGGCAGGAGAGGAGAGCGGAAUUCCACGUGUAGCGGUGAAAUGCGUAGAGAUGUGGAGGAACACCAGUGGCGAAGGCGGCUCUCUGGCCUGYACCUGACGCUGAGGCGCGA